GACGAACGCUGGCGGCGUGCUUAACACAUGCAAGUCGAACGGAAAGGCCCUGCUUGCAGGGUACUCGAGUGGCGAACGGGUGAGUAACACGUGGGUGAUCUGCCCUGCACUUCGGGAUAAGCCUGGGAAACUGGGUCUAAUACCGGAUAGGAGCCAUUUUUAGUGUGAUGGUUGGAAAGUUUUUUCGGUGUAGGAUGAGCUCGCGGCCUAUCAGCUUGUUGGUGGGGUAAUGGCCUACCAAGGCGGCGACGGGUAGCCGGCCUGCGAGGGUGGACGGCCACAUUGGGACUGAGAGACGGCACAGACUCCUACGGGAGGCAGAAGUGGGGAAUAUUGCACAAUGGGCGCAAGCCUGAUGCAGCGACGCCGCGUGGGGGAUGACGGCCUUCGGGUUGUAAACUCCUUUCGCUAGGGACGAAGCUUUUUGUGACGGUACCUAGAUAAGAAGCACCGGCUAACUACGUG
RNAcentral lists this ribosomal RNA (465 nucleotides) under uncultured bacterium. Its description in RNAcentral is "partial 16S ribosomal RNA". It matches the Rfam family "Bacterial small subunit ribosomal RNA", at positions 28 to 507 of the family's 1533-position model. The record is from RNAcentral.